UACGUAGGGGGCUAGCGUUGUCCGGAAUCAUUGGGCGUAAAGCGCGCGUAGGCGGUCAGGUAAGUCCGGUGUGAAAGUCAAAGGCUCAACCUUUGAAUGCCGCUGGAUACUGCCUGACUUGAGUCCGGAAGGGGCGAGUGGAAUUCCUGGUGUAGCGGUGAAAUGCGCAGAUAUCGGGAGGAACACCUAUGGCGAAGGCAGCUCGCUGGGACGUUACUGACGCUGAGACGCGAAAGCGUGGGGAGCAAACAGG
Molecule: ribosomal RNA, 253 nt
Filed under: uncultured bacterium
Lineage: Bacteria
Description: partial 16S ribosomal RNA
Rfam family: Bacterial small subunit ribosomal RNA
Source: RNAcentral